RNAcentral lists this ribosomal RNA (263 nucleotides) under Herminiimonas fonticola. Lineage: Bacteria; Pseudomonadati; Pseudomonadota; Betaproteobacteria; Burkholderiales; Oxalobacteraceae. The record is from RNAcentral.
CCUGAUGACCAUAGCGAUUUGGUACCACCCCUUCCCAUCCCGAACAGGACCGUGAAACGAAUUUGCGCCGAUGAUAGUGCUGCAACCAGUGUGAAAGUAGGUCAUCGUCAGGCUUUUAUUAGAAAACCCCCUUCCAGUGAUCUGGUCGGGGGUUUUUGCUUUUGGAAAAUCGCUUUGCAUGGAGCUGUGUGGCAGCAGAUGGCGUGCGCUCACGCCACUUCGCUGUGCUUACUUUACUGUACGCUGCCGACUUCUAAUGUUCU